CAAGGUUUCCGUAGGUGAUCUGCGGAAGGAUCAUUG
This 36-nucleotide ribosomal RNA is filed under the name Eucalyptus olivina. RNAcentral's name for it is "partial 18S ribosomal RNA". The record is from RNAcentral. Lineage: Eukaryota; Viridiplantae; Streptophyta; Magnoliopsida; Myrtales; Myrtaceae.